GAUGAACGCUGGCGGCGUGCCUAAUACAUGCAAGUCGAGCGAACGGACGAGAAGCUUGCUUCUCUGAUGUUAGCGGCGGACGGGUGAGUAACACGUGGAUAACCUACCUAUAAGACUGGGAUAACUUCGGGAAACCGGAGCUAAUACCGGAUGAUAUUUUGAACCGCAUGGUUCAAAAGUGAAAGACGGUCUUGCUGUCACUUAUAGAUGGAUCCGCGCUGCAUUAGCUAGUUGGUAAGGUAACGGCUUACCAAGGCAACGAUGCAUAGCCGACCUGAGAGGGUGAUCGGCCACACUGGAACUGAGACACGGUCCAAACUCCUACGGGAGGCAGCAGUAGGGAAUCUUCCGCAAUGGGCGAAAGCCUGACGGAGCAACGCCGCGUGAGUGAUGAAGGUCUUCGGAUCGUAAAACUCUGUUAUUAGGGAAGAACAUAUGUGUAAGUAACUGUGCACAUCUUGACGGUACCUAAUCAGAAAGCCACGGCUAACUACGU
Molecule: ribosomal RNA, 496 nt
Filed under: uncultured bacterium
Lineage: Bacteria
Description: partial 16S ribosomal RNA
Rfam family: Bacterial small subunit ribosomal RNA
Source: RNAcentral